AGGGGUGUAGCUCAAUUGGUAGAGCAUCCGACUGUUAAUCGGAAGGUUCUUGGUUCGAGUCCAAGCGCCCCUGCC
Molecule: transfer RNA, 75 nt
Filed under: Planctomycetaceae bacterium
Lineage: Bacteria; Pseudomonadati; Planctomycetota; Planctomycetia; Planctomycetales; Planctomycetaceae
Description: tRNA-Asn
Rfam family: tRNA
About the family: Transfer RNA (tRNA) molecules are approximately 80 nucleotides in length. Their secondary structure includes four short double-helical elements and three loops (D, anti-codon, and T loops). Further hydrogen bonds mediate the characteristic L-shaped molecular structure. tRNAs have two regions of fundamental functional importance: the anti-codon, which is responsible for specific mRNA codon recognition, and the 3' end, to which the tRNAs corresponding amino acid is attached (by aminoacyl-tRNA synthetases). tRNAs cope with the degeneracy of the genetic code in two manners: having more than one tRNA (with a specific anti-codon) for a particular amino acid; and 'wobble' base-pairing, i.e. permitting non-standard base-pairing at the 3rd anti-codon position.
Source: RNAcentral